CUAUGUUAUUAUAUAGAAUUUUUUUUUUUAUGAUAUUCUAUCACUAUGAUCAGUUUUGGGCUUAUGUGGUCAAACCUGAGAAUCAUUAUUGUUGGACAUAAGAGCUAAGGCCUCAAAAGAGCUGAGACUUAAAGAGCAAGCGCUAAUAUUUGAGGGUCUCUUCUGCAAAGUUAGACAGGUGUUCUAAUCCUUACCCACAGCAUUGCAUCUUCUACUGGUUCAGGACCUUUUUGGGCACUGAAAGUCUCUAAUUGAUCAUGUAAAUGAGCAGGGACAUUUCUUGAUUAGACUGUAAGAUAAUUAUGGGUUUUUAAAAUCUGUUAUGCACUGUGACAAAAAGAGACAAAAAAGUUGUAUUUUUAAUUUCCUUUUAGAUUUUUUUUUCACAUAAAAAGUGAUACUUUCAUCACUUCAGCAUGAUCAGGUAGAUUAGACUGAUAUUUGUGGGCCUUCAAUUUACAGUUAAAGUGAAAAAGCCUUUUAGGUGGUAGAUAACUCCAUUAGUUAUGAGUUUUGAUGUCAAUCCAUUUCUUCAGAAUUUGUACCAAGCACCAAAGUUAGCAAACCUUUAGAAAGGUUUUCUGAGGUAGAACUGGAAAUGGAUCCUUCUCAGAAGCUCUUUGAACCACAAUCGUCUGAGUGUGCCUAACAGUGAAAAAA
Xiphophorus hellerii (green swordtail) is the source of this 660-nucleotide long non-coding RNA. RefSeq lists it as uncharacterized. The record is from RefSeq and is a predicted model, not a curated record. NCBI's taxonomy places the organism in Eukaryota, Metazoa, Chordata, Actinopteri, Cyprinodontiformes, Poeciliidae. The transcript is spliced from 2 exons.